AAUAAGAAAUAAUAAAGAACAUAAUAAAAUAAUAAUAGGAUAGAUCAGAAUUAAUUUCAUACAUUUUUUUUAUUUUGUAUUAACAUUUGAAUUCAUUUUGGAUAUUUGUUGUUUAUGCUUUUUCAAUUUUUUAUCAUCAUUAUUAAAAAUGAACUUUGAAUAAGUCUUUUAUCAGUUACUUGUUGAUGGUAAAUCUUUUCCAGUAUCUUCUUAAAAAUAGCUUGUAAGUUCUCUGAGGAAUAAUAUUUUAAAUGAGAUUUACAUAUUUUCAAAUAAAAAAUUCUAACUUUCUAUUUAAUUAAACAAUAGAAUUGUUUAUGUUGGAGUCAUUAUACAGUUGAAGUAAAAAAGCUUUAAUAAUGAAACUAAAUAAUACUAAUUAUACUAGUGCUACUAGCAAAGAAUUCACAAAGAAAUGAAACUAGAAAAUGAAACCUUGUAUCUGUCUGAGAUACCCCCCUCCCAGCAGCAUUUGACAAUGAAGUAACUUCUAACAUAUCCCUGAUUUUACUUCAUUUUGGAUUUGACCCUAUCUUCAAAACAUUUCCACAAUAUCACACUAGAUAAUGGUUUUGUAAAUAUAUCACCAAUAUUCUCAUUAGAAAGAAUAUAAUUUAUAAUUUAAUAAUGUGAGGACCAUGGGAUGUCUGUUUUGUCAGAAUGGCCUUAAAAUUUGGCCACGCGUGGAUACAUGAUGCUGAGGACUGGGAUCAGAAAUUGACUCACAAACUUAUUUAAAUGAUAACUAAUGUUUAUUUAACAGAAGAAUAUAACAAAAAAAGUUAUUUAAAACUAAAUCUAAUAUGAUACAUUGUAGAGAGAGUGUGUGAGAGUUCCACAAGCCUUUCACAUACUUGAGAGAGAGUUUUCCAAUACUAAAUCUAUUUGACAAUUAUUUGUACACUAACAUUAAAUGUCCCUCUUGUUCACAAAUGUCCUUUGUAAAGUUCAACAUAUUCAUUGCUAAUGUUCACCAUCAUCAUCGUCUGUUCUAUUUGUCAGCUUUGCUGUCAUCAUCCAUCAUCUCUGUUAUUGUCUGUCGUCUCUGUUGGGCUUGCUGCCCCGACGGGAUGAGUUGUUUGCGCAUCGUUGCAUAUUUUCGUUAUUUUUCUUGGACACUAGCACUUCUUCUUCUUUGACUGCUGACUACCCUCUCUUGACUCUGCUGGCUGACUAAUCUUCUCGUAUUUACUUGAUGUCUUCAAAAGGAACUUUCCCGUGGUAUUUCUAGAUGGAAUUAACUUGUAGUUCCUUGUCAGUUAUGAUGACUAAUUAUUAUCUACUUUUUAAUCUUUAAUAUAUUAAUCUAUGUAAUUUAUUA
This 1321-nucleotide long non-coding RNA is filed under the name Androctonus crassicauda. The record is from RNAcentral. Lineage: Eukaryota; Metazoa; Arthropoda; Arachnida; Scorpiones; Buthidae.